CCUACGGGGGGCUGCAGUGAGGAAUAUUGGUCAAUGGACGCGAGUCUGAACCAGCCAAGUAGCGUGAAGGAUGACUGCCCUAUGGGUUGUAAACUUCUUUUAUAUGGGAAUAAAAUGUUCCACGUGUGGCAUUUUGUAUGUACCAUAUGAAUAAGGAUCGGCUAACUCCGUGCCAGCAGCCGCGGUAAUACGGAGGAUCCGAGCGUUAUCCGGAUUUAUUGGGUUUAAAGGGUGCGUAGGUGGAUUGUUAAGUCAGUUGUGAAAGUUUGCGGCUCAACCGUAAAAUUGCAGUUGAUACUGGCAGUCUUGAGUACAGUAGAGGUAGGCGGAAUUCGUGGUGUAGCGGUGAAAUGCUUAGAUAUCACGAAGAACUCCGAUUGCGAAGGCAGCUCACUGGACUGCAACUGACACUGAGGCUCGAAAGUGUGGGUAUCAAACAGGAUUAGAUACCCUAGUAGUC
Molecule: ribosomal RNA, 460 nt
Filed under: uncultured bacterium
Lineage: Bacteria
Description: partial 16S ribosomal RNA
Rfam family: Bacterial small subunit ribosomal RNA
Source: RNAcentral